Molecule: ribosomal RNA, 439 nt
Filed under: uncultured bacterium
Lineage: Bacteria
Description: bacterial SSU rRNA
Rfam family: Bacterial small subunit ribosomal RNA
Source: RNAcentral
GAUGAACGCUGGCGGCGUGCCUAACACAUGCAAGUCGAACGGAAUUUACAUGAAGCCUAGCGAUUGUAAAUUUAGUGGCGGACGGGUGAGUAACGCGUGGGUAACCUGCCUUGUACUGGGGGACAACAGUUGGAAACGACUGCUAAUACCGCAUAAGCGCACAGCUUCGCAUGAAGCAGUGUGAAAAACUCCGGUGGUACAAGAUGGACCCGCGUCUGAUUAGCUGGUUGGUGAGGUAACGGCCCACCAAGGCGACGAUCAGUAGCCGGCCUGAGAGGGUGAACGGCCACAUUGGGACUGAGACACGGCCCAAACUCCUACGGGAGGCAGCAGUGGGGAAUAUUGCACAAUGGGGGAAACCCUGAUGCAGCAACGCCGCGUGAGUGAAGAAGUAUUUCGGUAUGUAAAGCUCUAUCAGCAGGAAAGAAAAUGACGGUAC